UAUAUGUUGGUGUAAGAUGCACAAAAGUUUUUGAUACUUUUGGGAAUAGUUUAAUUCUAUUAUAUAUAA
RNAcentral lists this transfer RNA (69 nucleotides) under Pagastia nivis. Its description in RNAcentral is "tRNA-Gln". RNAcentral also lists the same sequence under 4 other names. Lineage: Eukaryota; Metazoa; Arthropoda; Insecta; Diptera; Chironomidae. The record is from RNAcentral.